UACGUAGGGGGCAAGCGUGUCCGGAAUUAUUGGGCGUAAAGGGCGCGGUAGGCGGCUUGGCAAGUGGAUGGUGAAAUCCCUCGGCUUAACCGAGGAACUGCCGUCCAAACUGCUUUGCUUGAGACCGGGAGAGGUGAGUGGAAUCCCAGUGUAGCGGUGAAAUGCGUAGAUAUUGGGAGGAACACCAGUGGCGAAGGCGGCU
RNAcentral lists this ribosomal RNA (202 nucleotides) under uncultured bacterium. RNAcentral's name for it is "partial 16S ribosomal RNA". It matches the Rfam family "Bacterial small subunit ribosomal RNA", at positions 524 to 726 of the family's 1533-position model. The record is from RNAcentral.